Molecule: non-coding RNA, 36 nt
Filed under: unclassified sequences
Description: DUF805b RNA
Rfam family: DUF805b RNA
About the family: Bacteroidetes, Chlorobi (1 example), Proteobacteria. Lineage (Flavobacteria)
Source: RNAcentral
UUGGUGGAAUCCGAAAAACCAAAAACAGAGUAGGAA